Molecule: unclassified non-coding RNA, 519 nt
Filed under: Hevea brasiliensis (rubber tree)
Lineage: Eukaryota; Viridiplantae; Streptophyta; Magnoliopsida; Malpighiales; Euphorbiaceae
Source: RNAcentral
UCAAUCUCUUCUCUCCCAUGUUACCCUCAUCAAAGUGAAGAUCGUCACUAAUUAAACUAAAAAAAAACCAGAAGAUGAAAGAAAGAACUGAAGUGAAAUUAGAAAGAAGAAAACAACUACAACCGUGCUUACUCUCUAUAUAUCUAGCUAACAUUUAUUAUCGUCAUCAUCAUCUUCCACAUCAAAAGAUCAAGAAGAUGAAGACGACCCAUUAGUGCAGACAUGAGCAACAUUAUCAUUCUCAAAGAGUUGGUGAUGAUCCACGAUGUCACUGCUGUUAUUGUUGUUGGUGGUUGUGGUGGUGUCGUGGGUGUUUUCAAGAUCAUUGCUUCUAAUUCCAUUCCCAUUAGCAUCCCUUUUGCCGAAAGUGUUCUUGUUAUUAUGCAUCCACACUUUUAACACGCCUUUGUCAACCCCAACUUCAUUGCAGAAUUCUUGAAUCGAUUCCUCAUCCCUUUUCUGCACCUUCCAUCCAACUCUCUCUGCGAAAUGGUACAUUCUCUCUUUCUGGCUCUGGCU